CAGUAGCCGCGGGAAUACGGAGGGUGCAAGCGUUAUCCGGAUUUAUUGGGUUUAAAGGGUCCGUAGGCGGACUUAUAAGUCAGUGGUGAAAGCCUGUCGCUUAACGAUAGAACUGCCAUUGAUACUGUAAGUCUUGAGUAUAUUUGAGGUAGCUGGAAUAAGUAGUGUAGCGGUGAAAUGCAUAGAUAUUACUUAGAACACCAAUUGCGAAGGCAGGUUACCAAGAUAUAACUGACGCUGAGGGACGAAAGCGUGGGUAGCGAACAGGAUUAGAUACCCGGGUAGUCCCUGUCUCUUAUAC
Molecule: ribosomal RNA, 301 nt
Filed under: uncultured bacterium
Lineage: Bacteria
Description: partial 16S ribosomal RNA
Rfam family: Bacterial small subunit ribosomal RNA
Source: RNAcentral